This 1931-nucleotide ribosomal RNA is filed under the name Polymastigidae sp. NmTmB. RNAcentral describes it as "SSU rRNA". It matches the Rfam family "Eukaryotic small subunit ribosomal RNA". Lineage: Eukaryota; Preaxostyla; Oxymonadida; Polymastigidae. The record is from RNAcentral.
UCAAAGAUUAAGCCAUGCAUGUGUAAGUAUAAACAACUUGUAUUUGUGAAACUGCGAAUGGCUCAUUAAAUCAGUUAUAAUUUAUUUGAUAAUGACAUUUACUAUAUGGAUAGCCGUAGUAAUUCUAGAGCUAAUACAUGCGUAAAGGUCUGACUUUUGGAAAGACUGUAUUUAUUAGAUCGGAGACCAAUAACAACUCUCUUGGGAGGUGUAUUAAGGUGAAUCAUGAUAAGUUUGUCGAAUCGAGAAUUUACUUUCUCGAUGUGUCAUUGAAAUUUCUGCCCUAUCAAUUUGUGAUGGUAGGAUAGAGGCCUACGAUGGUUUUGACGGGUAACGGGGAAUUAGGGUUCGAUUCCGGAGAGGGAGCCUGAGAAACGGCUACCACUUCUAAGGAAGGCAGCAGGCGCGCAAAUUACCCAAUCCCAAUAACUUUGGGGAGGUAGUGACAAAAAAUAUUAAUUCGUUUCCCAAAAGGGAGAUGAAAUUGAAAUGGUGUGGAUAUAUCAAGUCCAUAGAGAAACAAUUAGAGGGCAAGUCUGGUGCCAGCAGCCGCGGUAAUUCCAGCUCUAAUAGUGUAUACUAAAAUUGCUGCAGUUAAAAAGCUCGUAGUUGGAUUUGUGAUACUACUAAGCUUAUUUGGUUUGGAAGGGAUGGAUCUAAGUCUCUUCCUUAUGGCCAGUGGGUGAGUAGAAUCAUAAGAAGUUUUCGAAGGGGUGUAUUGCAUUUAACUAUGCCAAUAUGCCUUGUCGGAGAGUUUACUUUGAAGAAAAUGGAGUGUUCAAAGCAGGUAAAUAAUUGCAACUGAACACAUUAGCAUGGAAUAAUAAAAUAGGACACUAGCUGUGGUUAUUAAGGGACUGUAAUAGGUUCAUUUUUAGCCAUGGGUCUUCAGCCGUUAAAAAGUUGGGGAUGUCACUGUUUUGUUGGUCAACAGUGUAUGUGUAAUGAUUAAUAGGGACAGUUGGGGAUAUUGGUAUUGCAUCGUCAGAGGUGAAAUUCUUAGAUUGAUGCAAGACGAACGAGUGCGAAAGCAUCUAUCAAGGAUGUUUUCAUUAAUCAAGAACGAAAGUUAGGGGAUCGAAGGCGAUCAGAAACCGCCCCAGUCUUAACUAUAAACUAUACCAACUAGGAAUUGUCGGGUAUAAGGCACACCUACGGGUGUGUUUUUGCGGUUACAUUUACUCGCUCUAUAUAGAGUGCGUAAAUUGCCUCGCCAGCACCUGUUGAGAAAUCAGAAGUCUUUGGGUUCUGGGGGGAGUAUGGUCACAAGGCUGAAACUUAAAGAAAUUGACGGAAGGGCACCACCAGGUGUGGAGCCUGCGGCUUAAUUUGACUCAACACGGGGAAACUUACCAGGUCCAGACAACGGAAGGAUUGACAGAUUGAGAGUUUUUUCUUGAUUCGGUGGGUGGUGGUGCAUGGUCGUUCUUAGUUGGUGGAGCGAUUUGUCUGCUUAAUUGCGAUAACGAACGAGACCUCAACCUGCUAACUAAGCUUUACGGUAGUUAUCGCUACCGGUUAAGUAAGCUUCUUAGAGGGACAACCACUAUUGAAGUGGGGGAAGCAUGAGGCAAUAACAGGUCUGUGAUGCCCUUAGAUGUCCUGGGCCGCACGCGCGCUACACUGAUUAAAUCAACAAGUAUAGAUACAAGGAAACCCUUCGGGGUCUACUUUUCUCCUUGUCCGAAAGGAUCGGGUAAUCUUUUGAAUUUUAAUCGUGCUGGGGAUUGAUUUUUGUAAUUAUGGAUCAUGAACUAGGAAUACCUAGUAAGUGCAAAUCAUCAGUUUGCGCUGAUUACGUCCCUGCCCUUUGUACACACCGCCCGUCGCUCCUACCGAUUGAAUGAUCAGAUGAAAUGUUUGGAUUGUGACGAGGGAGGGGCAACACCCUCUUGUUGCUGCAAGAAGAACAGUAAAUCUUAUUAUUUAGG